AGAGUUUGUCGGCAUGGUGACUUAUAAUUGUUUAAGUAAUUCACCGGGUGUACGAAUUCUCA
This 62-nucleotide microRNA precursor is filed under the name Strongyloides ratti. RNAcentral's name for it is "microRNA str-mir-40 precursor". Its record names the gene str-mir-40. The record is from miRBase by way of RNAcentral. Lineage: Eukaryota; Metazoa; Nematoda; Chromadorea; Rhabditida; Strongyloididae.